UGGGGAAUUUUGCACAAUGGGGGAAACCCUGAUGCAGCGACGCCGCGUGAUUUAGAAGGCCUUCGGGUUGUAAAAAUCUUUUGUAUGGGAAGAAAAUGACAGUACCAUACGAAUAAGGACCGGCUAAUUACGUGCCAGCAGCCGCGGUAAUACGUAAGGUCCGAGCGUUGUCCGGGAUCAUUGGGCGUAAAGGGUACGUAGGCGGAUAAGCAAGUUAGAAGUGAAAUCCUAUAGCUCAACUAUAGUAAGCUUUUAAAACUGCUCAUCUUGAGGUAUGGAAGGGAAAGUGGAAUUCCUAGUGUAGCGGUGAAAUGCGCAGAUAUUAGGAGGAAUACCGGUGGCGAAGGCGACUUUCUGGCCAUAUACUGACGCUGAGGUACGAAAGCGUGGGUAGCAAACAGG
RNAcentral lists this ribosomal RNA (402 nucleotides) under Verrucomicrobiota bacterium. Its description in RNAcentral is "Verrucomicrobia bacterium partial 16S ribosomal RNA". It matches the Rfam family "Bacterial small subunit ribosomal RNA", at positions 355 to 776 of the family's 1533-position model. Lineage: Bacteria; Pseudomonadati; Verrucomicrobiota. The record is from RNAcentral.